Molecule: ribosomal RNA, 403 nt
Filed under: uncultured bacterium
Lineage: Bacteria
Description: bacterial SSU rRNA
Rfam family: Bacterial small subunit ribosomal RNA
Source: RNAcentral
UAGGGAAUAUUGCAAAAUGGGCGAAAGCCCGAUGCAGCAACGCCGCGUGGGCGAUGAAGGCCUUCGGGUCGUAAAGCCCUUUUUGAGGGGAUGAGGAAGGACAGUACCCUCAGAAUAAGCCUCGGCUAACUACGUGCCAGCAGCCGCGGUAAAACGUAGGAGGCGAGCGUUAUCCGGAUUUACUGGGCGUGAAGCGCGUGCAGGCGGAUUGGAGAGUUGGAUGUGAAAGCUCCCGGCUUAACUGGGAGAGGUCGUUCAAUACUUCCAGUCUUGGGUGCAGUAGAGGGAAGUGGAAUUCCGGGUGUAGUGGUGAAAUGCGUAGAUAUCCGGAGGAACACCAGUGGUGAAAGCGGCUUCCUGGACUGUAACUGACGCUCAGACGCGAAAGCUAGGGUAGCAAACA